AACAAAGUAGUGCAAAGAUGAGUAGGUUAGCGCAUCAUUUCAAGAGAGUCAUCAGCUGGUGCGAGAUGAUAGUGGUGGCUAGUCGAAGAUGGUCUUAAAUGCAGUUAUCACGGUCGAGCAUUGUGUGAGACAGUGACGGGAACUCCCGUUAUAGAGUCAGGGUAUGCACAAACAGUAAGUACUUGGGAGUACCCACAGAGGAAUGACCCACGAGGGUUAUUUAAACUAAGGUGGUAACACGGAAAAGCACUUCCGUCCUUGUC
This 263-nucleotide non-coding RNA is filed under the name Paucilactobacillus wasatchensis. RNAcentral describes it as "Lactobacillus wasatchensis T-box sequence". It matches the Rfam family "T-box leader". From Rfam's summary of the family: Uncharged tRNA acts as the effector for transcription antitermination of genes in the T-box leader family. T-boxes are found upstream of many aminoacyl-tRNA synthetase genes and some amino acid biosynthetic genes usually in Gram-positive bacteria. The record is from RNAcentral. Lineage: Bacteria; Bacillati; Bacillota; Bacilli; Lactobacillales; Lactobacillaceae.